GUAAUUCCAGCUCCAAUAGCGUAUAUUAAAGUUGUUGCAGUUAAAAAGCUCGUAGUUGGAUUUCGGAAGGUCCUUAGCAGUCCGCCCCUUCGGGGAGCGGGCUGCUGGCCUCCUAUGUUCCUAACGGUCCUCAUCCGCGAGGGUGUCGAAUCAACCGCUAGGAUCGUUUACUUUGAGGAAAUUAGAGUGUUCAAAGCAGGCGUAACUCGCCUCCGAAUACGUUAGCAUGGGAUAAUGGAAUACGACUUCGGUCUUGUUUCGUUGGUUUCGCUUGGCUGAAGUAAUGAUUGAUAGGGACAGUUGGGGGCAUUAGUAUGUAGUUGUCAGAGGUGAAAUUCUAGGAUUUACUAAAGACUGACCAAUGCGAAAGCAUUUGCCAAGGAUGUUUUCAUUAAUCAAGAACGAAAGUAGGGGGAUCGAAGACGAUCAGAUACCGUCGUAGUCUCUACCGUAAACUAUGCCGACCAGGGAUCCGGAGAGUUUGCAUGGAUGACUCCCCGGGCACCUUGUGAGAAAUCAUAAGUGUUUGGGUUUUGGGGGGAGUAUGGUCGCAAGGCUGAAACUUAAAGGAAUUGACGGAAGGGCACCACCAGGAGUGGAACCUGCGGCUUAAUUUGACUCAACACGGGGAAACUUACGAGGUCAGGACACUGUGAGGAUUGACAGAUUGCUAGCUCGUUCGUGAUUCAGUGGGUGGUGGUGCAUGGCCGUUC
This 713-nucleotide ribosomal RNA is filed under the name Vermamoeba sp. Its description in RNAcentral is "SSU rRNA". It matches the Rfam family "Eukaryotic small subunit ribosomal RNA", at positions 579 to 1293 of the family's 1831-position model. Lineage: Eukaryota; Tubulinea; Echinamoebida; Vermamoebidae. The record is from RNAcentral.